UGGUCUAAUGGUGGAGGUAGCCAUCAUAUGUGAAGUAGCCACAUAUGUCGCUAGAUUUAAAUAAUGCAACGUCGCACCUACGCCCUGGUAAGUGUGAGCUGUGAGAGCAUGAUCGUCCAAACGGUGGUCUAGGGGAGUGUUCGCGGUGGUUUUCUGGAGUGGUUACAUGUCGAAACCAUGGAACCACGAAAGAAACUUAAUUGGGGCGCAUUUAAUUUCUCGGGUAGUUGUGGUGUC
Molecule: long non-coding RNA, 237 nt
Filed under: Sorghum bicolor (sorghum)
Lineage: Eukaryota; Viridiplantae; Streptophyta; Magnoliopsida; Poales; Poaceae
Description: long non-coding RNA (SBIC_LNC000911)
Source: RNAcentral